ACGAAGGGUGCAAGCGUUACUCGGAAUUACUGGGCGUAAAGGGUGCGUAGGUGGUUUUUUAAGUCUGCUGUGAAAUCCCCGGGCUCAACCUGGGAAUGGCAGUGGAUACUGGAAAGCUGGAGUGCGGUAGAGGGUAGUGGAAUUCCCGGUGUAGCAGUGAAAUGCGUAGAGAUCGGGAGGAACACCAGUGGCGAAGGCGGCUACCUGGACCAGCACUGACACUGAGGCACGAAAGCGUGGGGAGCAAACAGGA
RNAcentral lists this ribosomal RNA (253 nucleotides) under uncultured prokaryote. RNAcentral's name for it is "partial 16S ribosomal RNA". It matches the Rfam family "Bacterial small subunit ribosomal RNA", at positions 525 to 777 of the family's 1533-position model. The record is from RNAcentral.